UACGUAGGGUGCAAGCGUUAAUCGGAAUUACUGGGCGUAAAGCGUGCGCAGGCGGCUUUGCAAGACAGAUGUGAAAUCCCCGGGCUCAACCUGGGAACUGCAUUUGUGACUGCAAGGCUAGAGUACGGCAGAGGGGGAUGGAAUUCCGCGUGUAGCAGUGAAAUGCGUAGAUAUGCGGAGGAACACCAAUGGCGAAGGCAAUCCCCUGGGCCUGUAUUGACGCUCAUGCACGAAAGCGUGGGGAGCAAACAGG
Molecule: ribosomal RNA, 253 nt
Filed under: uncultured bacterium
Lineage: Bacteria
Description: partial 16S ribosomal RNA
Rfam family: Bacterial small subunit ribosomal RNA
Source: RNAcentral